This is a non-coding RNA of Lonchura striata (white-rumped munia), 227 nucleotides long. Lineage: Eukaryota; Metazoa; Chordata; Aves; Passeriformes; Estrildidae. The record is from RefSeq and is a predicted model, not a curated record.
GCCAGAGGCGGAAGCGGAAGCGGGGGCGCGGCCAUGGAGGAGGCGGCGGGAGGGAGGGUGCUGCUGGCCCUGCCCGCGGCUGUUCCGGGGCCCCUCCCCCCGCGGCUGCACGGAGAGCUGCGCCUGCGGGCGCCGCCCCAGGACCUGGUGCUGGAAUGGGAACCCCUGGAGGGGAACUGGGAACCCCCCGAGGAGACGGUGAGACCCCAAAACAUCCCAAAAUAACC